GUGGAUGGUGUGAAAGUUACUGGAAAUUAGAGAAUUAAUACAACAUUUGCAAGUUAAUACAACAGCUAGCCAAAGCAUUGUUCAGCAAAUUUAUCUGCAACUGAUAAAAGAGAGACCCCGAGUGCCUUCGAAAAAUAUUGUAUUUCUUAGUGCAGCUAGACCCAAAGCUUUUUCCUAUGGUUACAUCUGCAAGGUAAAACGCUCACAGCUGACAGGCUAAGUAGGCGGGGGAUACAAGUGAAUCCUUUGUGUGUUUUGUGCAAAACUCAUAACGAGUCCAGAGAGCAUCUUUUCGUCUAUUGCCCUUUCUCUUUGCCAAUCUGGAACAAGUUAUUACACUGGACAAAAAGACACAAUUUGUUACUGUCGAUUGGAAUCAACAUAUUGAAUGGGUCAUAAAUAGUGCUAAAGGGAAAUCGCAAACAGCGCAGUUCUUCAAAUUGGUGUAUACUGAAGCUUUUUAUGCCAUUUGGCUUGAGCGGAAUCAAAGGAGUUUUUAAGAGAAGUGUCAGGAUUGAUAUAGUGUAGCCAGAAGUGUUGUUGUUAUGUGAAAUAUGAGAGCCUCUAGGAAUAUCAGGAACUAUGUUCACCAGCUCUUGUUUUAAUUUCUGCAUUAGAAUACAGGUUAGGCCUGUAGUAGUAUUUUCUAAUUUGAGAGAUAGUCCGAUUGAGGUGAUUGGUUAUUGCUUUGUAAUGUUUCACUUACUGAUUAAUAUAAUCAUUUAGUUACCAAAAAAAAACUCCAAAACUGAGAAAUGAUUCUAAAAUCCAAAUGAACUUUCCUAGAACUGAACCGAUGGCCCGGCAAGUCAUAAAUGACCUUUAGCUGCUAUGAGAAAAUGCGAAAUCCAGAAAACAUGUGGAAUGGAGAAAAUGACCUAGAGGGUCAUUACAAAAUACUGUAUUUACUAAUAUGAAAAUUUAAGUAGUUUAAUUUAAAGUUCUAAAUAUUUUCCUAUUGAAGAAUAGAAAGUCUUUGUUUCAUUUUAACAAAAUUUUUGUAUUUUCUUUUUUAUUUUUCAGCAAACUUUAAUAUUGUCUAAAUUAAUUAAAAUAAAAUCAUAACAUUUCGUAUAAAAAAUUUUUGGGGCCUAUAUAGGCUUUGUCAUAUCUCCUAGUUCCAGCAGAACCAUUCUGCUUGAUUUUACCUCUUCUUUUGUUAACCUUCCUCCUUGCUUUCCAAAG
This 1185-nucleotide long non-coding RNA is filed under the name Capsicum annuum. RNAcentral describes it as "long non-coding RNA (CANN_LNC021778)". Lineage: Eukaryota; Viridiplantae; Streptophyta; Magnoliopsida; Solanales; Solanaceae. The record is from RNAcentral.